GAGCACAUGUCCCAUCUAACGGGCCACUGGAGGCCAGGAUAUAGACCUGGUGCUGCCAGAUCAUCCAAUUUUUCCCAAAAAAGCCCCAAAUUCAGAUGUGAAUGUGAAAUUUCCAGAUCUUUAAAUGUUGUCUCAAAAAAAUGUAUUUUUUUAAUUCUCCACCAUCUAACCAGGGCACCGCUGGCCACAUUCAGCCUAUGGCUCACUACUCCACACACAUCUUUUGGUCUUCGAAAAAAUGUCCCAGGCACCACGGGAGGACGAGUACUUAGGGUGCAGUCGAAAUUGACCAGUCAUGGCAUCAAUUGUGGGAGGAUCUUGACCUUCUGGGAAGAAUCUAAGCUUCCUGAAUGCCCAAACUGACAACUUCCAGGCGCCCUGCUCAAUGUCUGGCAUAUAGUAAGUGCUCAACAAUCAUCUCUUAAAGAUUCCCACUGGAUGAGUACUCAGGACACGUUGGUCAAUGUGGAAAGAGCUACCUGGAAGUUUAACCUCAGAUUCUGCCAAGUCUUAAGAGAAAAGCAGAAACCAGCCAAGGUGUGGAAGGCAGUUCCGUCCAGAAGGAAGGAGGUGAACAUGCAAAGACCCAGGCCCGGGGAACAUUCUGGGGACAGCUAGGCGCCCCAUGAGAUGUCAGUGGGGUGGUGGCCGCCAAUGAAGCUACGGUGAAGCACAGAGCCUUUGAUACAUGCAAACCCUGGAGAUAUUAGAAAGCCAAGGGGAGGGGGCGCCUGGGGGCUCAGCCAGUUGAGCGUCUGACUUCGGCUCAGGUCAUGAUCUCCUAGUU
Long non-coding RNA from Suricata suricatta (meerkat), 787 nucleotides. RefSeq lists it as uncharacterized. The record is from RefSeq and is a predicted model, not a curated record. NCBI's taxonomy places the organism in Eukaryota, Metazoa, Chordata, Mammalia, Carnivora, Herpestidae. The transcript has 3 exons.